UGUGAAAUUGUUGAAAGGGAAGCGCUUGCAGCCAGACUUGCUUACAGUUGCUCAUCCGGGUUUCUACCCGGUGCACUCUUCUGUAGGCAGGCCAGCAUCAGUUUGGGCGGUAGGAUAAAGGUCUCUGUCACGUACCUCCUUUCGGGGAGGCCUUAUAGGGGAGACGACAUACUACCAGCCUGGACUGAGGUCCGCGCAUCUGCUAGGAUGCUGGCGUAAUGGCUGUAAGCGGCCCGUCUUGAAACACGGACCAAGGAGUC
Molecule: ribosomal RNA, 260 nt
Filed under: uncultured fungus
Lineage: Eukaryota; Fungi
Description: partial 28S ribosomal RNA
Rfam family: Eukaryotic large subunit ribosomal RNA
Source: RNAcentral